GCUUUGAUGAUUGAAUAUGGAACUUACUAGUAUUCUACAUUUCUUAUUCCUAAUUUAAUUUGAUUUCCUAACUCGGUAUUUUGAAGAUGAUACAUAUGAAUUCCAUAAAUUGUAUAAGAAAGAGCUUAACUUGAUGAGCUAUGAAAAUAGAAGUUUAGAGGUGAGACUUGGACAGAAGAAUGAUAAAUGUUCUGUAUAUGACUGAUAAGUGAUAUGAAUCGCAACAUUUUUGUAAUUAAAUUAACAGGAAAAAUAUUUACUCUUAUUCUUUUCCAAUUGUGCCGACCCCAAAUUUUUGGGAUA
This 303-nucleotide unclassified non-coding RNA is filed under the name Hevea brasiliensis (rubber tree). Lineage: Eukaryota; Viridiplantae; Streptophyta; Magnoliopsida; Malpighiales; Euphorbiaceae. The record is from RNAcentral.